RNAcentral lists this unclassified non-coding RNA (145 nucleotides) under soil metagenome. Its description in RNAcentral is "partial internal transcribed spacer 1". The record is from RNAcentral.
UAAUAAGUGUUUUAUGGCACUUUUUAAAUCCAUAUCCACCUUGUGUGCAAUGUCAGUCGAUCUUCUUCAUGGAGAUCGACCAAACAUCAACCUUUAUCUUUUAACUCUUUGUCUGAAAAAUGUUAUGAAUAAACAAUUCAAAAUA